UGCGUAGACGGUUAUGUAAGUCGGGUGUGAAAGCCCCGGGCUCAACCUGGGAAUGCCAUUCGAGACUGCAUAGCUAGGGUGCGGAAGAGGGAAGCGGAAUUUCAGGUGUAGCGGUGAAAUGCGUAGAUAUCUGAAGGAACACCAGUGGCGAAAGCGGCUUCCUGGUCCAGCACCGACGUUCAGGCACGAAAGCGUGGGGAGCAAACAGGAUUAGAUACCCUGGUAGUCCACGCCAUAAACGAUGAGAACUAGGCGUUGAGAGGGUAAGCCUCCCAGUGUCGUAGCUAACGCGCUAAGUUCUCCGCCUGGGGAGUACGGCCGCAAGGUUGAA
This 331-nucleotide ribosomal RNA is filed under the name uncultured bacterium. RNAcentral's name for it is "bacterial SSU rRNA". It matches the Rfam family "Bacterial small subunit ribosomal RNA", at positions 568 to 898 of the family's 1533-position model. The record is from RNAcentral.